CUGUCAGUACGUGGUAGUUGAUGUUGUGUUAACUAGCAGGUGUAGUUUACUAGCUGUUACUGGCUAGGGUUAGACACUUCAACGGAGCAAUGGCUUUUGGGUGUUGGUUGGGGUAAGUUUGGUGGUGGGCUUAAAUGUUUUGAAUAAGUGUUGAUGCUGGCACACUUUAUUGACCCGUGCUAACAUUUUUCUUACAGAGUAUUUGUACUCCUCUCUGUAUGGCCUUGUGUAAGAUGUUCUGACCUUCCAAGAGGGGCCAUUGAGACUGCAUGCCGGGAUCGAUACCUGUUGGUAACAACCCAACUCUCAUUUGCUGGGAAUGAACCUCGCUUUGAAGCGGUUGAUGCUGAUGGUGUUCACCCCAUCACUGAGCAGUAUGGGUCAGAGUGUGGCUACAUGUUCAGUAUCCUCCCUCUGCCUGGCCA
Molecule: long non-coding RNA, 425 nt
Organism: Oncorhynchus masou masou (cherry salmon)
Lineage: Eukaryota; Metazoa; Chordata; Actinopteri; Salmoniformes; Salmonidae
Exons: 3
Source: RefSeq, a predicted model, not a curated record